GACGAACGCUGGCGGCGUGCCUAAUACAUGCAAGUAGAACGCUGAAGAGAGGAGCUUGCUCUUCUUGGAUGAGUUGCGAACGGGUGAGUAACGCGUAGGUAACCUGCCUUGUAGCGGGGGAUAACUAUUGGAAACGAUAGCUAAUACCGCAUAACAAUGGAUGACACAUGUCAUUUAUUUGAAAGGGGCAAUUGCUCCACUACAAGAUGGACCUGCGUUGUAUUAGCUAGUAGGUGAGGUAAUGGCUCACCUAGGCGACGAUACAUAGCCGACCUGAGAGGGUGAUCGGCCACACUGGGACUGAGACACGGCCCAGACUCCUACGGGAGGCAGCAGUAGGGAAUCUUCGGCAAUGGGGGCAACCCUGACCGAGCAACGCCGCGUGAGUGAAGAAGGUUUUCGGAUCGUAAAGCUCUGUUGUAAGUCAAGAACGGGUGUGAGAGUGGAAAGUUCACACUGUGACGGUAGCUUACCAGAAAGGGACGGCUAACUACGUGCCAGCAGCCGCGGUAAUACGUAGGUCCCGAGCGUUGUCCGGAUUUAUUGGGCGUAAAGCGAGCGCAGGCGGUUUGAUAAGUCUGAAGUUAAGGCUGUGGCUCAACCAUAGUUCGCUUUGGAAACUGUCAAACUUGAGUGCAGAAGGGGAGAGUGGAAUUCCAUGUGUAGCGGUGAAGUGCGUAGAUAUAUGGAGGAACACCGGUGGCGAAAGCGGCUCUCUGGUCUGUAACUGACGCUGAGGCUCGAAAGCGUGGGGAGCGAACAGGAUUAGAUACCCUGGUAGUCCACGCCGUAAACGAUGAGUGCUAGGUGUUGGAUCCUUUCCGGGAUUCAGUGCCGCAGCUAACGCAUUAAGCACUCCGCCUGGGGAGUACGACCGCAAGGUUGAAACUCAAAGGAAUUGACGGGGGCCCGCACAAGCGGUGGAGCAUGUGGUUUAAUUCGAAGCAACGCGAAGAACCUUACCAGGUCUUGACAUCCCGAUGCUAUUUCUAGAGAUAGAAAGUUACUUCGGUACAUCGGUGACAGGUGGUGCAUGGUUGUCGUCAGCUCGUGUCGUGAGAUGUUGGGUUAAGUCCCGCAACGAGCGCAACCCCUAUUGUUAGUUGCCAUCAUUCAGUUGGGCACUCUAGCGAGACUGCCGGUAAUAAACCGGAGGAAGGUGGGGAUGACGUCAAAUCAUCAUGCCCCUUAUGACCUGGGCUACACACGUGCUACAAUGGUUGGUACAACGAGUUGCGAGUCGGUGACGGCGAGCUAAUCUCUUAAAGCCAAUCUCAGUUCGGACUGUAGGCUGCAACUCGCCUACAUGAAGUCGGAAUCGCUAGUAAUCGCGGAUCAGCACGCCGCGGUGAAUACGUUCCCGGGCCU
Molecule: ribosomal RNA, 1368 nt
Filed under: uncultured bacterium
Lineage: Bacteria
Description: bacterial SSU rRNA
Rfam family: Bacterial small subunit ribosomal RNA
Source: RNAcentral